This 430-nucleotide ribosomal RNA is filed under the name Staphylococcus epidermidis. RNAcentral describes it as "bacterial SSU rRNA". It matches the Rfam family "Bacterial small subunit ribosomal RNA", at positions 201 to 619 of the family's 1533-position model. Lineage: Bacteria; Bacillati; Bacillota; Bacilli; Caryophanales; Staphylococcaceae. The record is from RNAcentral.
UGAAAGACGGUUUUGCUGUCACUUAUAGAUGGAUCCGCGCCGCAUUAGCUAGUUGGUAAGGUAACGGCUUACCAAGGCAACGAUGCGUAGCCGACCUGAGAGGGUGAUCGGCCACACUGGAACUGAGACACGGUCCAGACUCCUACGGGAGGCAGCAGUAGGGAAUCUUCCGCAAUGGGCGAAAGCCUGACGGAGCAACGCCGCGUGAGUGAUGAAGGUCUUCGGAUCGUAAAACUCUGUUAUUAGGGAAGAACAAAUGUGUAAGUAACUAUGCACGUCUUGACGGUACCUAAUCAGAAAGCCACGGCUAACUACGUGCCAGCAGCCGCGGUAAUACGUAGGUGGCAAGCGUUAUCCGGAAUUAUUGGGCGUAAAGCGCGCGUAGGCGGUUUUUUAAGUCUGAUGUGAAAGCCCACGGCUCAACCGUGGA